AUUCCCAUCGUCUAGAGGCCUAGGACGAAACCCUCUCAAGGUUUAAACACGGGUUCGACUCCCGUUGGGAAUGCCA
Molecule: transfer RNA, 76 nt
Filed under: Lachnospiraceae bacterium
Lineage: Bacteria; Bacillati; Bacillota; Clostridia; Lachnospirales; Lachnospiraceae
Also listed under: 2 other names
Description: tRNA-Glu
Rfam family: tRNA
About the family: Transfer RNA (tRNA) molecules are approximately 80 nucleotides in length. Their secondary structure includes four short double-helical elements and three loops (D, anti-codon, and T loops).
Source: RNAcentral